This 253-nucleotide ribosomal RNA is filed under the name uncultured bacterium. Its description in RNAcentral is "partial 16S ribosomal RNA". It matches the Rfam family "Bacterial small subunit ribosomal RNA", at positions 524 to 776 of the family's 1533-position model. The record is from RNAcentral.
UACGGAGGGGGCAAGCGUUGUUCGGAAUUACUGGGCGUAAAGCGCGCGUAGGCUGCAUAGUAAGUUGGGAGUGAAAUCCCAGGGCUCAACCCUGGAAUUGCUUUCAAAACUACUGUGCUGGAGAAUGGCAGAGGAUAGUGGAAUUCCUAGUGUAGAGGUGAAAUUCGUAGAUAUUAGGAGGAACACCAGAGGCGAAGGCGGCUAUCUGGGCCAUUUCUGACGCUAAGGCGCGAAAGCGUGGGGAGCAAACAGG